Long non-coding RNA from Zingiber officinale, 2299 nucleotides. RefSeq lists it as uncharacterized. The record is from RefSeq and is a predicted model, not a curated record. Lineage: Eukaryota; Viridiplantae; Streptophyta; Magnoliopsida; Zingiberales; Zingiberaceae. The transcript has 4 exons.
AUCCCUAGCUAACCCCUCACAAUUCCCUCACACGCCGAUUUUCCUUCUUCUCCUUUGUUCUCGCUGUCUCGCUGCUCACCCACGACUCAAGCGCCGCUCCGAUCCUCUCCCUUUUUCUUCCCUAAGCUGCUCUCGUCGUCGCUGCUUCUCUCCCUUGCUCCUCCCUAAUCUACUCUCGUCGGCGCUCCUCUCCCUGUCUCCUCCCUCUGCUCUCGUCAUUGCCGCUCCUCUCCCUUUAUCCUCCCUAAUCUGUUCUCACUGUUGCCGCUCCUUUCACCCACGCUCACGUAUACUUGUGCCGCCGUCGGCCUCCAUCGCGUGUCGCCACCACGAUUACUUCACAGCACUGCCUACACGCCGUGAUUCUGCCUGUCUCCUCCCAAACCCAUUCUCGUCGUCGCGGCUCCCUAAUCUACUCUCAACCUAGAGGUGUUGGUUCUAUAAAAUUACAUUAUUUUAUCUUCCCAAAUUGCUUUUUCUUUCAAAGGGGAUAGAUUGGAAUUCAUUUUUCUAUAGAAAUGAAAUUGAAAUCAAAGGCUCAAUUUGAAGCAGAAUUGGAUGAAGGGACGUGCUUACUAUGGUGGAGCCCUAUCAGAUUGUGUUGUUUACUAGCACAUCUAAUAGGUUAGUAGUCUAAAAAACUUUCAAAGAAUACAAUCCUGGCGCUUUAUUCACAAAUUCUGUGAAAAUAUUGCCUUUCCUUCAUACUUGUCAAUAUUCUAAUAAUAUGCAGUACUUGAUAAAUCAUAGUUCUUAGUAGUUUCAGUAUCAAUGUUGUCCUUAGUAACACUGCUGAAAGACGAAAAUUGGUUUCUAGUGAUUUUCUAAUACUCUUAUCUGCACCACAUUAACAACAGAUAAUGAAGUCGGUAUGUUUCUUACUAGUACCACCUGGACCAGCAAAUUUACUGUAUUUUUAUGGAAUGUUGAUUUCACUGAGUCAAAUUGUAUUUCUUUUGUCAAAUGGAGUUACACAAUAGUAUUAACGCAUACUUUCAACCAUCAAAGUUUUUGAGCCAAGUUGAUAGUUGAUCAUACAUUAUUCUAUUGCUACCUGGUCAUAGAGCCAGUUGUCUUGCUGAUGAAUUUCUUGCGAUCCUAUAGCCUACAACAUAGUCACUGACAGCAACUUGCAUGCAAACAUAUAUGUAAAUUUGGUUAUAUUCCUUCAGUACCAGAUUUUAUUUGAAUCCACAAUAAUUAGAAUUAUACCAAUACAAAUUAACUGAUGGAAAAUAAUAUUAACAAUUGAUUUGAAACAGUGUCCUAUUUGCUUACACUAAUUUGUUUUUCACAUUCUAGGCUAGUAUAAAUGUAUAAUGCCUAAGAGAAUUGCAUGCACCAGCUUUACUCUAAUCAAUUUAAAUGCUAAGUUUCUGUUUAUCAUCUUGACUUAAAGUGGGACAAAAAUGGAUACUUUUCUUCUCAUUUCUCUAUACUGAUCAUGACCUUAUUUGAUUGGAAAAGAUGAUAUAUUUUCCACAUCAAGUUAAUAUAUAUAGCAUGUUGUUGUCUAUCCUUAGAUGUGGUAAUACUCUUCUUCUGAUGACAUUAAGAGUUUAAUAGGGCAUUUUAACUACAAGAUUAGUAUUUUUCUCUAGAUUAAUGCAAUAAUGCCUUCUUAUGAAAGCUUGUUCUUCUGUUAUUAUGCACUCAUCUUUGAAGGAAGAGAGAUUGGGAAGUUUAAGGCGAAUAUUGGAGAUCCAGUUUGAUGGUCUUGUUUGGAUCAUCAAGUACCCCUCUACAUUGAUAAUGACUAUUUAUUUAUUUUUUACAUAGUACCUUCUACAGCCUUUUCGAUAACUGCAAGCUGAUAGAUUUAUGUUGUAGGAUGCUCUGAGACAUCUCUGGCGAGUUGCCUAUCCUAAUAGAGAAAUUCCUCCUCUUAAAUGUAAAUUAUGUAAGGAAAUGGGUUGGCAAGGUUGUGACCCAUCAACAGAUUUUAGGGGUGGUGGCUUCAUAUCCUUGGAAAAUCUCAUUUUUUUGCCAAAAACUAUCUGUCAUGCCAUCUAGAAAAGUUGGAAUUCGGUUCCUGGACUUGCUUGGAGAAGAUUUAGAAAGCUAGAGUGUGAGCUUUCACUAAAAGAUGUGACUAGUGUGAAAGAUUUGCCUGCGUACAACAUGAUGUUAUAGCAACCUGUGAUUCAUUGUUUCAGCUCCCUGUGAGACAGUAAUAUAUAUAUCCUUUGAGAAUUGUGUAUAUCAGUUUUAAGUGAAGUUUAAGAAUUCUCUACUGGUUUUGUUAACAAAACCUACUGUGAAUUACCAAUAAUGUUCAGUUCAUGUAGUCUUUCUUUGA